UACGUAGGGUGCAGGCGUUAAUCGGAAUUACUGGGCGUAAAGCGCACGCAGGCGGCGCGGUAAGUCUGAUGUGAAAUCUCCCGGCUUAACUGGGAGGGGUCAUUGGAAACUGCCGAGCUUGAGGCGAUGAGAGGGGUGUAGAAUUCCCGGUGUAGUGGUGGAAUGCGUAGAUAUCGGGAGGAACACCAGUGGCGAAGGCGGCUAUCUGGAUCAACACUGACACUGAGGCACAAAAGCGUGGGGAGCAAACAGG
This 253-nucleotide ribosomal RNA is filed under the name uncultured bacterium. RNAcentral's name for it is "partial 16S ribosomal RNA". It matches the Rfam family "Bacterial small subunit ribosomal RNA", at positions 524 to 776 of the family's 1533-position model. The record is from RNAcentral.